UUGAUGGUGCUUGCACCUGAUUGAUUUUGGUCGCCRACGAGUGGCGGACGGGUGAGUAACACGUAGGUAACCUGCCCAGAAGCGGGGGACAACAUUUGGAAACAGAUGCUAAUACCGCAUAACAACGUUGUUYGCAUGAACAACGCUUAAAAGAUGGCUUCUCGCUAUCACUUCUGGAUGGACCUGCGGUGCAUUAGCUUGUUGGUGGGGUAACGGCCUACCAAGGCGAUGAUGCAUAGCCGAGUUGAGAGACUGAUCGGCCACAAUGGGACUGAGACACGGCCCAUACUCCUACGGGAGGCAGCAGUAGGGAAUCUUCCACAAUGGGCGCAAGCCUGAUGGAGCAACACCGCGUGAGUGAAGAAGGGUUUCGGCUCGUAAAGCUCUGUUGUUAAAGAAGAACACGUAUGAGAGUAACUGUUCAUACGUUGACGGUAUUUAACCAGAAAGUCACGGCUAACUACGUGCCAGCAGCCGCGGUAAUACGUAGGUGGCAAGCGUUAUCCGGAUUUAUUGGGCGUAAAGAGAGUGCAGGCGGUUUUCUAAGUCUGAUGUGAAAGYCUUCGGCUUAACCGGAGAAGUGCAUCGGAAACUGGAUAACUUGAGUGCAGAAGAGGGUAGUGGAACUCCAUGUGUAGCGGUGGAAUGCGUAGAUAUAUGGAAGAACACCAGUGGCGAAGGCGGCUACCUGGUCUGCAACUGACGCUGAGACUCGAAAGCRUGGGUAGCGAACAGGAUUAGAUACCCUGGUAGUCCAUGCCGUAAACGAUGAGUGCUAGGUGUUGGAGGGUUUCCGCCCUUCAGUGCCGGAGCUAACGCAUUAAGCACUCCGC
Molecule: ribosomal RNA, 833 nt
Filed under: Limosilactobacillus fermentum
Lineage: Bacteria; Bacillati; Bacillota; Bacilli; Lactobacillales; Lactobacillaceae
Description: bacterial SSU rRNA
Source: RNAcentral